RNAcentral lists this ribosomal RNA (496 nucleotides) under uncultured bacterium. Its description in RNAcentral is "partial 16S ribosomal RNA". It matches the Rfam family "Bacterial small subunit ribosomal RNA", at positions 29 to 507 of the family's 1533-position model. The record is from RNAcentral.
AUGAACGCUGGCGGCGUGCCUAAUACCUGCAAGUCGAGCGAACAGACGAGGAGCUUGCUCCUCUGAUGUUAGCGGCGGACGGGUGAGUAACACGUGGAUAACCUACCUAUAAGACUGGGAUAACUUCGGGAAACCGGAGCUAAUACCGGAUAACAUGUUGAACCGCAUGGUUCAACAGUGAAAGACGGUCUUGCUGUCACUUAUAGAUGGAUCCGCGCCGCAUUAGCUAGUUGGUAAGGUAACGGCUUACCAAGGCAACGAUGCGUAGCCGACCUGAGAGGGUGAUCGGCCACACUGGAACUGAGACACGGUCCAGACUCCUACGGGAGGCAGCAGUAGGGAAUCUUCCGCAAUGGGCGAAAGCCUGACGGAGCAACGCCGCGUGAGUGAAGAAGGUCUUCGGAUCGUAAAACUCUGUUAUUAGGGAAGAACAAAUGUGUAAGUAACUAUGCACGUCUUGACGGUACCUAAUCAGAAAGCCACGGCUAACUACGUG